GAUGACACUGUCUCCGGAAUCUCUGAUUCUUUGUGAUGACUUAAUUUGAACCUUUUUCCAGCUGAUGACUGCAGACCUGUCAU
Small nucleolar RNA from Bombina bombina (fire-bellied toad), 83 nucleotides. RefSeq annotates it as small nucleolar RNA MBII-202. The transcript has a single exon. The record is from RefSeq and is a predicted model, not a curated record. NCBI's taxonomy places the organism in Eukaryota, Metazoa, Chordata, Amphibia, Anura, Bombinatoridae.